GCGCGCCCUCUGGCGGCGCCGCCCCUUCUCUCAUCCCUGGUUCUAUCCCCGCCAGACCGGGCGCCCAAGAUCCCGGUGCUCCGCGGACCCCGGGCCGCGUCAUCUGCGAGGUCUCCAGGCGCCGUCGUCUCCGCUGGCCACAGCGGGAUGGGCCUGAGUCCGGGUGCCAGCGGGGAGUACGGGAUCCACCUCUCCAGGGUCCCAUGGCCGCGCCCCAAGUUCACCUUGAGGCCCAGCAGUACCGGGUCAAGUGACACCCAACUUGCCACUGGACAGUCAACCGUGUCCCAUCCAGAGCCAGCGAGAUCUCAAGCGCUGUUGGUCCAGCUCCUGCCAAAGCGGUUCAAGCAAGGCUGCCGGUUAGAGCAGGACAAAAGCUUGCCUCAAGGAGAGAAGCCGGUAAUUAACUUGGAGAUCACGUCCAGCAACAAGAGCACAGAGCUGAUUUCAACACCUAAUUUGGAGAUCGAAGGCAAACUAAAAAGCCAAGCAGCAGAGGAGCAACUUGUAAUCCCCAGUAAGAACAAACCAAGACCUAGACCUGGAGACCUGAUUGAGAUUUUUCGAAUUGGCUAUGAACACUGGGCCAUCUACGUGGAAGAUGAUUGUGUGGUUCACCUGGCUCCCCCGAGUGAGGAGUUUGAGGUGGGCAGCAUCACGUCUAUCUUCAGCAACCGUGCUGUGGUGAAGUACAGCCGGCUGGAGGAUGUACUGCACGGCUGCUCUUGGAAGAUCAACAACAAGCUGGAUGGGAUAUACCUGCCCCUCCCAGUGGACAAGAUCAUGCAGCGCACAAAAAACAUGAUCAACAAGAUAGUGCAGUACAGCCUGAUCGAGGGGAACUGCGAGCACUUUGUCAAUGACCUCAGAUACGGCGUGCCCAGGAGCCAGCAGGUGGAGCAUGCUUUGGCGGAGGGAGCGAAGGCUGCAGGUGCUGUCAUCUCAGCAGUGGUGGAUAGCAUAAGACCCAAACCUCUAUCUGCUUGAAGAUGCUGCGAAGUCUGAGUGCAGGAAGAGCCCCCAGCAACUGCAGGGCAAAGAUUACUCCUUUCUUCCUCCUCGCCUUCCUCACUCAGUGGCCCUGUUUAAGAAGACUGAGUUUCUGGAAGAUUGGAAUGUGCUUAAUUACCUCCUUUGACAUUUGUCCACUAUAGCUGAUGAAGACCCCCACACCCUCAGCAGGGGAGGAACUGAUAACUGAUGAAUAUUCAAAAUAUGUAAGUCGGUCUCCACUGUGUGAAUGAAGGAGUGAUUCCAAUGGAAGAUCUGAAAUUGUUCCUGUGGGUUUUAUUCCAUGAACUGAAGUCACCCAAAAAGGCUAGAGAUGGGUUCUCCUAUGACUCUAGAAGGGCCUGGAAAACGUGGACGGCAUGCACCAACAAGAUGGAGCCCUUAAACUGUUUGAGAACUUAGGCGGGGCUUGCUGGGGGGGUCUUUGUCCUGAUGGAAGUAAACAGACACAAUGUAACACUGGCGUUGUCCUCCAUCCCUUUCUCAGCAACCCAAUGCUGACGAUUCCUUCAGCUUCUUGAAUACUGGAGCCUGGGUAUAUUUCUUGGUUGGAGUUUCCUCUGCCCUUUUCCACCAGCCCGUGUACUGGGCCUGGCGGUCCUGGACGCUUGUAUUCGGACAAGCCCUCAUUUCUGCGCAUCAUGACUAGCAAGAAGCCAGCAGCCGUGGUUCCCUUCUCCGUCCACCCGACACCUGGGAGAUAAACUGGGCUCCCAAUACCCCUUUUGGUCUCUUAACUCAUGUCUAUGUCAGGGCUUCCUCUCAGGCAGAACCUAAGCACCCGGCCUCUACAAGCCCAUCCCCUUCAGCUUUAAACUAACACUGUCGUGUUUUAGUGGACUCCUUAAUGAUUCUGAACUCUUAGGCCGAAUUGAUGUCUAAUAAGCAAGCAGGGAAUUCUUUGAUUAACGAACAGCUCCCCCACCAUAAAGUGUUUAGUGACUCAGAGUGAACUCACCCACUUCUUGCUCACUGCUCUGGCUCUCUGGUGUGAACCCCAUGGACAAAGUAUAUCAUCAAUUAUGUGCCCUCAUCCAUUAAAAAACCAUGAUUUUGA
This is an RNA transcript of Mesocricetus auratus (golden hamster), 2068 nucleotides long. It is a transcript of the gene named phospholipase A and acyltransferase 5, with no coding region annotated. NCBI's taxonomy places the organism in Eukaryota, Metazoa, Chordata, Mammalia, Rodentia, Cricetidae. The record is from RefSeq and is a predicted model, not a curated record. The transcript has 8 exons.